Molecule: ribosomal RNA, 406 nt
Filed under: uncultured bacterium
Lineage: Bacteria
Description: partial 16S ribosomal RNA
Rfam family: Bacterial small subunit ribosomal RNA
Source: RNAcentral
AUUGAACGCUGGCGGCAGGCCUAACACAUGCAAGUCGAGCGAGUGGCGGACGGGUGAGUAAUGUAUGGGAAACUGCCCGAUAGAGGGGGAUAACUACUGGAAACGGUAGCUAAUACCGCAUACCAUCAGAUGUACCCAGCUGGGAUUAGCUUGUUGGUGGGGUAACGGCUCACCAAGGCGACGAUCCCUAGCUGGUCUGAGAGGAUGACCAGCCACACUGGAACUGAGACACGGUCCAGACUCCUACGGGAGGCAGCAGUGGGGAAUAUUGCACAAUGGGCGCAAACCUGAUGCAGCCAUGCCGCGUGUAUGAAGAAGGCCUUCGGGUUGUAAAGUACUUUCAGCGGGGAGGCGUUACCCGCAGAAGAAGCACCGGCUAACUCCGUGCCAGCAGCCGCGGUAAUUC